RNAcentral lists this long non-coding RNA (501 nucleotides) under Dermacentor andersoni. RNAcentral's name for it is "uncharacterized LOC126528011". The record is from RNAcentral. Lineage: Eukaryota; Metazoa; Arthropoda; Arachnida; Ixodida; Ixodidae.
UGCUAUUGGAAGAACGGUAACCGUUCAGGUUACCGGUCCCUUUGUUCGCGUAGUUAUUGUGAGCUUGUCUUUCUUAGUGCGCUCCAGAGAGCGCUGAUGUUUUGGCGUCGAUGACGCCGGAGUUUUGGUGUCGACAUCCAUAACCUUCUCCGAGGCGCUGGAUGAUCGAGAACCAGGCGCUGAGACGCGCGUCUCAGGCCUGGGAGUUCGAUUUAGCCUGGGGCCCUGUGGAACCGGGGUCUGCAGGCCAGUCUGUGAUGAUGAUGAUGAUGAUGGAGCAGGACUGGCUGCUGCCACCAAGGGGACGGAUGGAGUUACUACUGGGCCACUGACUGCGGUCCCUGUAGACUCCUGAGACCACUGCGGUGCUGUCCCCUGUCGCACCGCACUGGCGUAGGUUGUUUGAGCAGGGGCAAGAUCGUGAAUAUGCUGGAUGAUCUCCUUUGCAGUUUGUACAGUGUGGAGCAGCAUUACAGUUUUCCGACUGAUGGUCAUUGGCAC